RNAcentral lists this ribosomal RNA (172 nucleotides) under Megoura crassicauda. RNAcentral describes it as "partial 28S ribosomal RNA". It matches the Rfam family "Eukaryotic large subunit ribosomal RNA", at positions 918 to 1090 of the family's 3401-position model. Lineage: Eukaryota; Metazoa; Arthropoda; Insecta; Hemiptera; Aphididae. The record is from RNAcentral.
UAGGGGCGAAAGACUAAUCGAACCAUCUAGUAGCUGGUUCCAUCCGAAGUUUCCCUCAGGAUAGCUGGCGCCGAUGUGUCCCGCCCGUUCGCGGGCGUACGGACGCCGGUGGGACUCCGCGCUGUACGGCGCGGUAACAACACGCUCGUAACACGGAGGAUGUCUCAUACGG